RNAcentral lists this ribosomal RNA (170 nucleotides) under Kickxellaceae sp. RNAcentral's name for it is "partial large subunit ribosomal RNA". Lineage: Eukaryota; Fungi; Kickxellomycota; Kickxellomycetes; Kickxellales; Kickxellaceae. The record is from RNAcentral.
CGGGAACAGCUCAAGCCCUUAAUCUGCAACGGACCACCGUUGCCGAGUUGUAGCUUGAAGGUCGGCACUUUGGCAGCGCGGCAGACAUAAGCCCUUUGAAUAGGGCGCCAGAGAGGGUGCAAGCCCCGUCUUUUGUCAGCAGGCGUCUGUCAGUGUAAGUGCCGUCCAGC